This 592-nucleotide ribosomal RNA is filed under the name uncultured bacterium. RNAcentral's name for it is "partial 16S ribosomal RNA". It matches the Rfam family "Bacterial small subunit ribosomal RNA", at positions 355 to 1375 of the family's 1533-position model. The record is from RNAcentral.
UGGGGAAUUUUGGACAAUGGGCGAAAGCCUGAUCCAGCAAUGCCGCGUGUGUGAAGAAGGCCUUCGGGUUGUAAAGCACUUUUGUCCGGAAAGAAAUCCUUGGCUCUAAUACAGUCGGGGGAUGACAGUACCGGAAGAAUAAGCACCGGCUAACUACGUGCCAGCAGCCGCGGUAAUACGUAGGGUGCAAGCGUUAAUCGGAAUUACUGGGCGUAAAGCGUGCGCAGGCGGUUUGCUAAGACCGAUGUGAAAUCCCCGGGCUCAACCUGGGAACUGCAUUGGUGACUGGCAGGCUAGAGUAUGGCAGAGGGGGGUAGAAUUCCACGUGUAGCAGUGAAAUGCGUAGAGAUGUGGAGGAAUACCGAUGGCGAAGGCAGCCCCCUGGGCCAAAUACUGACGCUCAUGCACGAAAAGCGUGGGGGAGCAAAACAGGAUUAGAUACCCUGGUAGUCCACGCCCUAAACGAUGUCAGCUAGUUGUUGGGGGACUUCAUUUUCCUUAGUAACGUAGCUAACGCGUGAAGUUGACCGCCUGGGGAGUACGGUCGCAAGAUUAAAACUCAAAUGAAUUGACGGGGUCAUAGCUGUUUCCU